UCUGGUCCUUGUGUGCCAGCCGCCGCGGUCCUCCGUCGGGCGCGCGCGUUGUCCGGCCUUCCUGGGUGUCCCGGGCGCGUCGGCGGGAUGGCAAGUCAGAUGUGAAAUCUGAGAGCUCAACUUUCAGACUGCAUUUGAAACUGCUGUUCUUGAGUGAAGUAGAGGUAAGCGGAAUUCCUGGUGUAGCGGUGAAAUGCGUAGAGAUCAGGAGGAACAUCGGUGGCGAAGGCGGCUUACUGGGCUUUUACUGACGCUGAGGCUCGAAAGCGUGGGGAGCAAACAGG
Molecule: ribosomal RNA, 284 nt
Filed under: Ruminococcus callidus
Lineage: Bacteria; Bacillati; Bacillota; Clostridia; Eubacteriales; Oscillospiraceae
Description: partial 16S ribosomal RNA
Rfam family: Bacterial small subunit ribosomal RNA
Source: RNAcentral